CACGGAUCCAGAGUUUGAUCCUGGCUCAGGACGAACGCUGGCGGCGUGCCUAAUACAUGCAAGUCGAACGCUUCUUUUUCCACCGGAGCUUGCUCCACCGGAAAAAGAGGAGUGGCGAACGGGUGAGUAACACGUGGGUAACCUGCCCAUCAGAAGGGGAUAACACUUGGAAACAGGUGCUAAUACCGUAUAACAAUCGAAACCGCAUGGUUUUGAUUUGAAAGGCGCUUUCGGGUGUCGCUGAUGGAUGGACCCGCGGUGCAUUAGCUAGUUGGUGAGGUAACGGCUCACCAAGGCGACGAUGCAUAGCCGACCUGAGAGGGUGAUCGGCCACAUUGGGACUGAGACACGGCCCAAACUCCUACGGGAGGCAGCAGUAGGGAAUCUUCGGCAAUGGACGAAAGUCUGACCGAGCAACGCCGCGUGAGUGAAGAAGGUUUUCGGAUCGUAAAACUCUGUUGUUAGAGAAGAACAAGGAUGAGAGUAACUGUUCAUCCCUUGACGGUAUCUAACCAGAAAGCCACGGCUAACUACGUGCCAGCAGCCGCGGUAAUACGUAGGUGGCAAGCGUUGUCCGGAUUUAUUGGGCGUAAAGCGAGCGCAGGCGGUUUCUUAAGUCUGAUGUGAAAGCCCCCGGCUCAACCGGGGAGGGUCAUUGGAAACUGGGAGACUUGAGUGCAGAAGAGGAGAGUGGAAUUCCAUGUGUAGCGGUGAAAUGCGUAGAUAUAUGGAGGAACACCAGUGGCGAAGGCGGCUCUCUGGUCUGUAACUGACGCUGAGGCUCGAAAGCGUGGGGAGCAAACAGGAUUAGAUACCCUGGUAGUCCACGCCGUAAACGAUGAGUGCUAAGUGUUGGAGGGUUUCCACCCUUCAGUGCUGCAGCUAACGCAUUAAGCACUCCGCCUGGGGAGUACGACCGCAAGGUUGAAACUCAAAGGAAUUGACGGGGGCCCGCACAAGCGGUGGAGCAUGUGGUUUAAUUCGAAGCAACGCGAAGAACCUUACCAGGUCUUGACAUCCUUUGACCACUCUAGAGAUAGAGCUUCCCCUUCGGGGGCAAAGUGACAGGUGGUGCAUGGUUGUCGUCAGCUCGUGUCGUGAGAUGUUGGGUUAAGUCCCGCAACGAGCGCAACCCUUAUUGUUAGUUGCCAUCAUUUAGUUGGGCACUCUAGCAAGACUGCCGGUGACAAACCGGAGGAAGGUGGGGAUGACGUCAAAUCAUCAUGCCCCUUAUGACCUGGGCUACACACGUGCUACAAUGGGAAGUACAACGAGUCGCAAAGUCGCGAGGCUAAGCUAAUCUCUUAAAGCUUCUCUCAGUUCGGAUUGUAGGCUGCAACUCGCCUACAUGAAGCCGGAAUCGCUAGUAAUCGCGGAUCAGCACGCCGCGGUGAAUACGUUCCCGGGCCUUGUACACACCGCCCGUCACACCACGAGAGUUUGUAACACCCGAAGUCGGUGAGGUAACCUUUUGGAGCCAGCCGCCUAAGGUGGGAUAGAUGAUUGGGGUGAAGUCGUAACAAGGUAGCCGUAAGCUUCAC
This 1541-nucleotide ribosomal RNA is filed under the name uncultured bacterium. RNAcentral describes it as "bacterial SSU rRNA". It matches the Rfam family "Bacterial small subunit ribosomal RNA". The record is from RNAcentral.